RNAcentral lists this ribosomal RNA (489 nucleotides) under uncultured bacterium. RNAcentral describes it as "bacterial SSU rRNA". It matches the Rfam family "Bacterial small subunit ribosomal RNA", at positions 8 to 509 of the family's 1533-position model. The record is from RNAcentral.
AGAGUUUGAUCCUGGCUCAGAGUGAACGCUGGCGGCGUGCUCAACACAUGCAAGUCGAACGAGAACGGGCCUAGCUUGCUAGGCUGUCAGCUAAGUGGCGCACGGGUGAGUAAUGUAUAGUUGAUCUGCCCCUUGGAGGGGGAUAGCCAUUGGAAACGAUGAUUAAUACCCCAUACUCCUAUAUGCGUAAGGUAUAUAGGGAAAUGUCUUUUCGCCAAGGGAUGAGACUAUAUGGCAUCAGGUAGUUGGUAGGGUAAUGGCCUACCAAGCCAAUGACGCCUAGCUGGUCUGAGAGGAUGAUCAGCCACACUGGUACUGAGACACGGACCAGACUCCUACGGGAGGCAGCAGUGGGGAAUAUUGCACAAUGGAGGAAACUCUGAUGCAGCAACGCCGCGUGGAGGAUGACGCAUUUCGGUGUGUAAACUCCUUUUAUAUAGGAAGAUAAAGAACGGUACUAUAUGAAUAAGCACCGGCUAACUCCGUGCC